CGCCUUAUACUCCUACGGGAGGCAGCAGUGGGGAAUAUUGGACAAUGGGCGAAAGCCUGAUCCAGCCAUGCCGCGUGUGUGAAGAAGGUCUUCGGAUUGUAAAGCACUUUAAGUUGGGAGGAAGGGCAUUAACCUAAUACGUUAGUGUCUUGACGUUACCGACAGAAUAAGCACCGGCUAACUCUGUGCCAGCAGCCGCGGUAAUACAGAGGGUGCAAACGUUAAUCGGAAUCACUGGGCGUAAAGCGCGCGUAGGUGGUUUGUUAAGUUGAAUGUGAAAUCCCCGGGCUCAACCUGGGAACUGCAUCCAAAACUGGCAAGCUAGAGUAUGGUAGAGGGUAGUGGAAUUUCCUGUGUAGCGGUGAAAUGCGUAGUUAUAGGAAGGAACACCAGUGGCGAAGGCGACUACCUGGACUGAUACUGACACUGAGGUGCGAAAGCGUGGGGAGCAAACAGGAUUAGAAACCCCAGUAGUCCACGUACCA
Molecule: ribosomal RNA, 485 nt
Filed under: uncultured bacterium
Lineage: Bacteria
Description: bacterial SSU rRNA
Rfam family: Bacterial small subunit ribosomal RNA
Source: RNAcentral